RNAcentral lists this ribosomal RNA (443 nucleotides) under uncultured bacterium. RNAcentral's name for it is "bacterial SSU rRNA". It matches the Rfam family "Bacterial small subunit ribosomal RNA", at positions 957 to 1393 of the family's 1533-position model. The record is from RNAcentral.
UAACGCGAAGAACCUUACCAAGGCUUGACAUACACCGGAAAGCAUCAGAGAUGGUGCCCCCCUUGUGGUCGGUGUACAGGUGGUGCAUGGCUGUCGUCAGCUCGUGUCGUGAGAUGUUGGGUUAAGUCCCGCAACGAGCGCAACCCUUGUUCUGUGUUGCCAGCAUGCCCUUCGGGGUGAUGGGGACUCACAGGAGACCGCCGGGGUCAACUCGGAGGAAGGUGGGGACGACGUCAAGUCAUCAUGCCCCUUAUGUCUUGGGCUGCACACGUGCUACAAUGGCCGGUACAAAGAGCUGCGAUACCGUGAGGUGGAGCGAAUCUCAAAAAGCCGGUCUCAGUUCGGAUUGGGGUCUGCAACUCGACCCCAUGAAGUCGGAGUUGCUAGUAAUCGCAGAUCAGCAUUGCUGCGGUGAAUACGUUCCCGGGUCUUGUACACACCGA